GCACGUUUCGUAGCUUAGUGGAUAACGCGAUGGCGUGUGAAGCGAAAGGUACUGGGUUCGAGUCCCAGAGUGAGC
This 75-nucleotide transfer RNA is filed under the name Schistosoma mansoni. Lineage: Eukaryota; Metazoa; Platyhelminthes; Trematoda; Strigeidida; Schistosomatidae. The record is from RNAcentral.